This 462-nucleotide ribosomal RNA is filed under the name uncultured bacterium. RNAcentral's name for it is "partial 16S ribosomal RNA". It matches the Rfam family "Bacterial small subunit ribosomal RNA", at positions 28 to 507 of the family's 1533-position model. The record is from RNAcentral.
GACGAACGCUGGCGGCGUGCUUAACACAUGCAAGUCGAGCGGUAAGGCCUUUCGGGGUACACGAGCGGCGAACGGGUGAGUAACACGUGGGUGAUCUGCCCUGCACUUCGGGAUAAGCCUGGGAAACUGGGUCUAAUACCGGAGAUGACCUCCUAUCGCAUGGUGGGUGGGGGAAAGAUUUAUCGGUGCAGGAUGGGCGCGCGGCCUAUCAGCUUGUUGGGGGGGUAAUGGCCUACCAAGGCGACGACGGGUAGCCGACCUGAGAGGGUGACCGGCCACACUGGGCCUGAGACACGGCCCAGACUCCUACGGGAGGCAGCAGUGGGGAAUAUUGCCCAAUGGGCGAAAGCCUGAUGCAGCGACGCCGCGUGAGGGAUGACGGCCUUCGGGUUGUAAACCUCUUUCAGCAGAGACGAAGCGCAAGUGACGGUACCUGCAGAAGAAGCACCGGCUAACUACGUG